UGGGGAAUAUUGCACAAUGGGCGCAAGCCUGAUGCAGCCAUGCCGCGUGUAUGAAGAAGGCCUUCGGGUUGUAAAGUACUUUCAGCGGGGAGGAAGGGAGUAAAGUUAAUACCUUUGCUCAUUGACGUUACCCGCAGAAGAAGCACCGGCUAACUCCGUGCCAGCAGCCACGGUAAUACGGAGGGUGCAAGCGUUAAUCGGAAUUACUGGGCGUAAAGCGCACGCAGGCGGUUUGUUAAGUCAGAUGUGAAAUCCCCGGGCUCAACCUGGGAACUGCAUCUGAUACUGGCAAGCUUGAGUCACGUAGAGGGGGGUAGAAUUCCAGGUGUAGCGGUGAAAUGCGUAGAGAUCUGGAGGAAUACCGGUGGCGAAGGCGGCCCCCUGGACGAAGACUGACGCUCAGGUGCGAAAGCGUGGGGAGCAAACAGG
Molecule: ribosomal RNA, 429 nt
Filed under: Chloroflexota bacterium
Lineage: Bacteria; Bacillati; Chloroflexota
Description: Chloroflexi bacterium partial 16S ribosomal RNA
Rfam family: Bacterial small subunit ribosomal RNA
Source: RNAcentral